CGGCGGACGGGUGAGUAAUGUCUGGGAAACUGCCCGAUGGAGGGGGAUAACUACUGGAAACGGUAGCUAAUACCGCAUAACGUCGCAAGACCAAAGAGGGGGACCUUCGGGCCUCUUGCCAUCGGAUGUGCCCAGAUGGGAUUAGCUAGUAGGUGGGGUAACGGCUCACCUAGGCGACGAUCCCUAGCUGGUCUGAGAGGAUGACCAGCCACACUGGAACUGAGACACGGUCCAG
RNAcentral lists this ribosomal RNA (235 nucleotides) under uncultured bacterium. RNAcentral describes it as "partial 16S ribosomal RNA". It matches the Rfam family "Bacterial small subunit ribosomal RNA", at positions 96 to 334 of the family's 1533-position model. The record is from RNAcentral.